This is a small nuclear RNA of Vulpes vulpes (red fox), 105 nucleotides long. The record is from Ensembl. NCBI's taxonomy places the organism in Eukaryota, Metazoa, Chordata, Mammalia, Carnivora, Canidae.
GUGCACCCUUCAGCAGCACAUACACUAAAAUUGGAAUGAUACAGAACAGAUUAGCAUGGCUCCUGCACAAGGAAGACACAAAUUUGUGGAGUGCUCCAUAUUCAA